CAGCAGCCGCGGGAAAACCGAGGGUGCAAGCGUUAAUCGGAAUUACUGGGCGUAAAGCGCGCGUAGGUGGUUUGUUAAGUUGGAUGUGAAAUCCCCGGGCUCAACCUGGGAACUGCAUCCAAAACUGGCAAGCUAGAGUAUGGUAGAGGGUGGUGGAAUUUCCUGUGUAGCGGUGAAAUGCGUAGAUAUAGGAAGGAACACCAGUGGCGAAGGCGACCACCUGGACUGAUACUGACACUGAGGUGCGAAAGCGUGGGGAGCAAACAGGAUUAGAUACCCCGGUAGUCCCUGUCUCUUAUAC
Molecule: ribosomal RNA, 301 nt
Filed under: uncultured bacterium
Lineage: Bacteria
Description: partial 16S ribosomal RNA
Rfam family: Bacterial small subunit ribosomal RNA
Source: RNAcentral